UUUCUCGCUCUCUCUCAUUCAUUAAAUUAAAGCUCUCUCAUUACCUGAUUUUGUUGUCUUCCGCCGAAAUCUAUACUGGCGGAAUCUGUAAGUUUUAAUUUUUGAUGAAUGAUGAUCAUUCAAUGAUCUAUGAUGAUUUCAAAGUGAAAUUUCAAUUUCAAUUUUCAAUUUUAAAAUUCAUUACUGCCUGGCGGAAUUGUUUAACAAAUUUUGUUAUAUCAUACUAUGAUGAUUUUAAUUGUUGAAAUGUUGAUGAUUUAAAAUUUUAAAUUAUUAUACUGUCAGAAUAUAUGCUGAUGGCGGAAGUGUUGAAUUUUUUUUUUUAUAUCAUAUAACUUAUAUAGUGUUGAACUGUUGAUGAUUUAAAUUGUUAUACUGCUGCAAUUAAUCUAUACUGGCGGAAUUGUUACUGCCGGAAUUGUUUGUUAGUAAAAAUUUUAGUCUAAAAACUAAUAUGUUAAAUUAUAUUAAAUUGUUGCUACCGGAAUAGUUUGUUAGUAAAAACUAAGAUUAAAAAUUAAUAAAAUGUUUCAAAACUAAGCUAAUUUACAGGAACUUGUUGCACGACGAGUUGUUUAUGGGCACACAGAACGAAGAAGACCACGACGACGAGUUGAGGAGGUGGGACGACAGGAGCAGAAUGUGGGACAACGAGAGUCUGUGACUAGUGGUGCUUCUUCACAACAGACCGAGAUUCAGGACGAGGACGAUGGGACUAGAACGCAACGAGACUUGGAGGAAACAUUGAGGCGUUCAACACAGGACCCUGAUUACUUAGAGCAACGAGACUUGGAGAUGGCUAUUGAAACAUCAUGUAGGGAGCAUCUUUCUUCAUCUACCAAAGGAGCAUCAUCUAGUCGAGACUUCAUUGAUUAUGAUAGUGAUCUUGGGUUUUAGUGUGUUCUUUUAUCUUACUAGGAUUGUACAUUUUAUUAAUCUAGCUUAGUAAGGAUUUAAGUUAAUUAUAUACGUUUUAUGUAAGUUAAACAUUUUAUUUAU
Molecule: long non-coding RNA, 999 nt
Filed under: Aquilegia coerulea
Lineage: Eukaryota; Viridiplantae; Streptophyta; Magnoliopsida; Ranunculales; Ranunculaceae
Description: long non-coding RNA (ACOE_LNC001533)
Source: RNAcentral